This 1044-nucleotide long non-coding RNA is filed under the name Takifugu rubripes (torafugu). RNAcentral's name for it is "lncRNA (ENSTRUG00000029145.1)". Lineage: Eukaryota; Metazoa; Chordata; Actinopteri; Tetraodontiformes; Tetraodontidae. The record is from RNAcentral.
AUGUUUGGGAGGGUCCCCAGGCUGCCAGUUGACCUCAUGUUGAAGAGUGUUCUCCAGGACGACACUGUUUGUGUCUAUGCCACUUACGUCAAGACUCUGGUGGAUGACCUGAUCUGGGCCAUGCUCCAAGCUCAGCGUAGUAGCACCAAGGAGCAGAAACAUCAGUCACAUCAGUAUAACAAGAGAGCAAAAGGCCUGCCUCUGUCUGUUGGGGAUCAGGUAGUUGUGGCGAAUAAAGGUGCCGGGGAAAAACGGAAGCUUGCUGACAAAUGGGAGCCGGUUGUCUACACGGUGGUGGCCUCAAAACCUGCCCUGCACAUCUACCGAAUCAGAGAUACGGAUGGGAAUGAGCGUGUGGUACACCGCAACCUCCUCCUUGAGGUGGACUUCUUACCACUGGAUGUGGCUUUGGAUGGUGCAGCUGAACCUGUGGACUCUCUGGCUGGUGUUGCUUCUGGACCUGAUCUGCAUGAAGCUAAGAUGGGCCCCUCUUUGGCUGGGUCCGGCACUUCUUCCAGUAUCUCUGAAUGCACAUCAGCGUGGGUCCAGCAACUGCCCCCGCCUGUGUCGGAAUGUGAUGCUGAAGGUGGAUUUCCUGAUGUCAGUGUUCCUCAGCAUUCCCUCACGGAGUCCACCGUCCCCUCCCCUGCUGUCCCUAUAGAGUCACUUAGGGAUAACCAACGUACUCCACGAUUUGGCGGGGUCAUUAGGCCAGUUUCUCGCCUGAUCGAAUCUAUGACUCAGGUUACCUCACUUUUUGGUACCUGUUCCAUCUCCUGUCAUGAUUGUGUAGUUUUCUGUUGUAAACUGUACUUUCAUUGCAUUUGGGUGACUGCCGUUUAUGGCUGUUUUGUUUGUUUGUUUUGCAACUGUCCUUUGUAUUGUUGGUAUGAUGUGCACUGCCAUGCCUUAAACCCCAGCCACCUGUGGUUGGGCAGCCAUAUUUUCCCCUUGAGACCUAAAAGGCAUCUCUACUGUAUCUAUGGAGUUUUCAACAAUGUUGUUCUGACUUUGAACUCUUUGAAGAGGCAGCCGUCGAGCUGA